UACGGGGGGAGCAAGCGUUGUUCGGAUUUACUGGGCGUAAAGGGCGCGUAGGCGGCCUCUGCAAGUCGACUGUGAAAUCUCCGGGCUUAACCCGGAAAGGUCAGCCGAUACUGCAGGGCUAGAGUGCAGAAGGGGCAACUGGAAUUCUCGGUGUAGCGGUGAAAUGCGUAGAUAUCGGGAAGAACACCAGUGGCGAAGGCGGCUACCUGGACUGACACUGACACUGAGACACGAAAGCGUGGGGAGCAAACAGG
Molecule: ribosomal RNA, 254 nt
Filed under: uncultured bacterium
Lineage: Bacteria
Description: partial 16S ribosomal RNA
Rfam family: Bacterial small subunit ribosomal RNA
Source: RNAcentral